This 894-nucleotide ribosomal RNA is filed under the name uncultured Acidiphilium sp. RNAcentral's name for it is "bacterial SSU rRNA". It matches the Rfam family "Bacterial small subunit ribosomal RNA", at positions 56 to 988 of the family's 1533-position model. The record is from RNAcentral. Lineage: Bacteria; Pseudomonadati; Pseudomonadota; Alphaproteobacteria; Acetobacterales; Acidocellaceae.
UGCAGUCGACGAAGAUGGCAGCCUCUGGUUGGCAUCUUAGUGGCGGACGGGCGAGUAACGCGUAAGAACUUGCCCCUGGGAGAGGGAUACCAACUGGAAACGGUUGUUAAUACCUCAUAGGCUGAGGAGUAAAAUGGUUAACACCGCCUAGGGAUAGGCUUGCGUCUGAUUAGCUAGUUGGUGGGGCAAAGGCCUACCAAGGCAAUGAUCAGUAGCUGGUCUGAGAGGACAAUCAGCCACACUGGGGCUGAGACACGGCCCAAACUCCUACGGGAGGCAGCAGUGGGGAAUAUUGGACAAUGGGGGCAACCCUGAUCCAGCAAUGCCGCGUGGGUGAAGAAGGUUUUCGGAUUGUAAAGCCCUUUUGGCGGGGACGAUGAUGACGGUACCCGCAGAAUAAGCUCCGGCUAACUUCGUGCCAGCAGCCGCGGUAAUACGAAGGGGGCUAGCGUUGCUCGGAAUGACUGGGCGUAAAGGGCGCGUAGGCGGCUUACACAGUCAGGCGUGAAAUUCCUGGGCUCAACCUGGGGACUGCGUCUAAUACAUGUAGGCUUGAGUGUGAAAGAGGGUCGUGGAAUUUCCAGUGUAGAGGUGAAAUUCGUAGAUAUUGGAAAGAACACCGGUGGCGAAGGCGGCGACCUGGUUCAUUACUGACGCUGAGGCGCGAAAGCGUGGGGAGCAAACAGGAUUAGAUACCCUGGUAGUCCACGCUGUAAACGAUGUGUGCAGGAUGUUGGGGUGCUUAGCACUUCAGUGUCGUAGCUAACGCGGUAAGCACACGCCGGGGGAGUACGGCCGCAAGGUUGAAACUCAAAGGAAUUGACGGGGCCCGCACAGGCGGUGGAGCAUGUGGUUUAUUCGAAGCACGCGCAGAACCUUACCAUGAUUGACAUG